This 422-nucleotide ribosomal RNA is filed under the name uncultured bacterium. RNAcentral's name for it is "bacterial SSU rRNA". It matches the Rfam family "Bacterial small subunit ribosomal RNA", at positions 355 to 774 of the family's 1533-position model. The record is from RNAcentral.
UAAGGAAUAUUGGACAAUGGUCGCAAGACUGAUCCAGCCAUGCCGCGUGCAGGAAGACGGCCCUAUGGGUUGUAAACUGCUUUCGUACCAGAGAAAACCUAUCUACGUGUAGAUAGCUGAUAGUAUGGUAAGAAUAAGCAUCGGCUAACUUCGUGCCAGCAGCCGCGGUAAGACGAAGGAUGCAAGCGUUAUCCGGAUUCAUUGGGUUUAAAGGGUGCGUAGGCGGGCUUGUAAGUCAGUGGUGAAAUCUCUCAGCUUAACUGAGAAACUGCCAUUGAUACUGCAGGCCUAGAGUAUAGAUGACGUUGGCGGAAUAUGACAUGUAGUGGUGAAAUACUUAGAUAUGUCAUAGAACACCGAUUGCGAAGGCAGCUAACGAAACUAUAACUGACGCUGAGGCACGAAAGUGCGGGGAUCAAACA